RNAcentral lists this unclassified non-coding RNA (229 nucleotides) under plant metagenome. RNAcentral's name for it is "partial contains small subunit ribosomal RNA, internal transcribed spacer 1, and 5.8S ribosomal RNA". The record is from RNAcentral.
UUUCCGUAAGUGAACCUGCGGAGGGAUCAUUACAGAGUUCAUGCCCUACCGGGUAGAUCUCCCACCCUAUGUUAUUAUUACUUUGUUGCUUUGGCGGGCCGUUAGGCUCCGGCCCGACUACCGGCCCCGGCUGGUAAGCGCCCGCCAGAGGACCCAAAACCCUGAAUAUUAGUGUCGUCUGAGUACUAUAUAAUAGUUAAAACUUUCAACAACGGAUCUCUUGGUUCUG